Molecule: ribosomal RNA, 803 nt
Filed under: uncultured Nostocoides sp.
Lineage: Bacteria; Bacillati; Actinomycetota; Actinomycetes; Micrococcales; Intrasporangiaceae
Description: bacterial SSU rRNA
Rfam family: Bacterial small subunit ribosomal RNA
Source: RNAcentral
CAAGUCGAACGGUGACCUCGGAGCUUGCUCCGGGCGAUCAGUGGCGAACGGGUGAGUAACACGUGAGUAACCUGCCCCAGACUCUGGGAUAACCCCGGGAAACCGGAGCUAAUACCGGAUACGACACGAAGAGGCAUCUCCAUCGUGUGGAAAGUUUUUCGGUCUGGGAUGGACUCGCGGCCUAUCAGCUUGUUGGUGAGGUAACGGCUCACCAAGGCGACGACGGGUAGCCGGCCUGAGAGGGCGACCGGCCACACUGGGACUGAGACACGGCCCAGACUCCUACGGGAGGCAGCAGUGGGGAAUAUUGCACAAUGGGCGAAAGCCUGAUGCAGCGACGCCGCGUGGGGGAUGACGGCCUUCGGGUUGUAAACCCCUUUCAGCAGGGAAGAAGCGCAAGUGACGGUACCUGCAGAAGAAGCACCGGCUAACUACGUGCCAGCAGCCGCGGUAAUACGUAGGGUGCGAGCGUUGUCCGGAAUUAUUGGGCGUAAAGAGCUUGUAGGCGGUCUGUCGCGUCUGCUGUGAAAAUCCGGGGCUCAACCCCGGACUUGCAGUGGGUACGGGCAGACUAGAGUGUGGUAGGGGAGACUGGAAUUCCUGGUGUAGCGGUGAAAUGCGCAGAUAUCAGGAGGAACACCGAUGGCGAAGGCAGGCCUCUGGGCCACUACUGACGCUGAGAAGCGAAAGCAUGGGGAGCGAACAGGAUUAGAUACCCUGGUAGUCCAUGCCGUAAACGUUGGGAACUAGGUGUGGGUCUCAUUCCACGAGAUCCGUGCCGCAGCUAACGCAUUAAGUUCCCC